UGGUCAGUUAGCUUCGAUUAGCAAGUGGAGGAGAAGGACUUAACUAGCGCGUGUGUUGGAGACAGAGUUUUCCGAGCUGCGACCCUACUGUGUAGUGGGAGUGGAGGUGCCUGGGAUUUGCUGCGUUACCGGACUGCGGACAGACUAGAGCGCCGACAGGAUUCGCCAUCAUCGCCCCGCCUUCGCUGGAGAGAUAAGAUGUACAUCUUGUCCAUCAUGGCAGCUGGUCAUCAUCUUCAGUCAGCCUGAGUAAUAAUGGGUGGUCCCUGGAGUGCUGGAGGAGAAGGGGGAGAAUUCAGAGACCAAGG
This 308-nucleotide long non-coding RNA is filed under the name Scleropages formosus (Asian bonytongue). Its description in RNAcentral is "lncRNA (ENSSFOG00015028884.1)". The record is from RNAcentral. Lineage: Eukaryota; Metazoa; Chordata; Actinopteri; Osteoglossiformes; Osteoglossidae.